GUAAAAACGUAAACUUUUGGGCCAAAGUGCAAAUACACAAAAGUAUCAAAACUUUAUGUAAUUGCAUAAAAACCCCAAAAGUACUCCCACUUGAGGGAGGGCCGGUUUUGGAGAAGGAAAAUGAGUGAUGUGUGUGUUGAUUUGUGAGUUUUGACAUAAAGCAUGCAAGUGGUGCAAGUGGUGCAAGUGGUGCAAGUGGUGUGUGUGAAAGGGAAUUAAUCCUUUCACACCCACCAUUAUUUCUACCACCAUUUAAACAAAUAUCUAACACAUUGAAUCAUUUGAAAAACAUAAAACAUAAACUUUAUGAAAUAAAUCAAAACUUUGAAUCAAAACACAAAACCUUUUUGUUCUUGGCAAAAAUGUCAAGAACAAUGAAGAACAUUCAUGAAAAACCCAAAAAAUUUCCAUGAACAUUUUUACUCCAAAAACAUCCCAAAACCAUUCAAACUUUAGGGAAAUAACAUAUAACCAAACUAGGGUACAUAGGGGUUCCAAAAGUUACUUGAAAACACUUUUAACAAGUCAAACAAGAACCCAAAAAACCACCCUUUGGAUUUGGCCGAAAAUUCCCAAAAACAUGGCACCAAAUUUUAGCUCCAAUAUUCAUGCUCAUAAGAACUACAUCUACAACAUUUGAGAUGGCAAAUUUUCUAACAAAAUUUACAUUCAAAGAAACAAGAAUAUAGCUUGUAACAUAUUACAACUUUUAAAUCACAAACUAUGAACCACAAAACCCAAAAGGAUUCACCAACUACUA
This 760-nucleotide long non-coding RNA is filed under the name Malus domestica (apple). RNAcentral's name for it is "long non-coding RNA (MDOM_LNC018590)". Lineage: Eukaryota; Viridiplantae; Streptophyta; Magnoliopsida; Rosales; Rosaceae. The record is from RNAcentral.